ACGAAAUGCCUCGGGGAGCCGUAAGCAGGCUUUGAUCCGGGGAUGUCCGAAUGGGGAAACCCGGCUGGAGUAAUGUCCAGUCACUCAUAACUGAAUACAUAGGUUAUGAAGAGGCAGACCAGGGGAACUGAAACAUCUAAGUACCCUGAGGAAGAGAAAACAAUAGUGAUUCCGUCAGUAGCGGCGAGCGAACGCGGAUUAGCCCAAACCAAGGAGCUUGCUUCUUGGGGUUGUAGGGCGUCUCACAUGGAGUUACAAAGGUGUUGGGUAGACGAAGAGGUCUGGAAAGGCCCGCUAUAAGAGGUAAAAGCCCUGUAGUCCAAAGUCAGCACUCUCCGAGACGUACCCUGAGUACCGCGAGACACGUGAAACCUCGUGGGAAUCCGGCAGGACCAUCUGCCAAGGCUAAAUACUCCCUAGCGACCGAUAGUGAAGCAGUACCGUGAGGGAAAGGUGAAAAGCACCGCGGAAGCGGAGUGAAAAAGAACCUGAAACCGUGCGCUUACAAAAAGUCAGAGCCCUCUAUAUGGGUGAUGGCGUGCCUUUUGUAGAAUGAACCGGCGAGUUACGUUCCCAUGCAAGGUUAAGGUGAAGAGCCGGAGCCGCAGCGAAAGCGAGUCUGAAUAGGGCGACAUAGUAUGUGGACGUAGACCCGAAACCGUGUGAUCUACCCCUGUCCAGGGUGAAGGUGCGGUAACACGCACUGGAGGCCCGAACCCACGAAUGUUGAAAAAUUCGGGGAUGAGGUGGGGGUAGCGGAGAAAUUCCAAUCGAACUCGGAGAUAGCUGGUUCUCCCCGAAAUAGCUUUAGGGCUAGCCUCGGAGUAAAGAGUCGUGGAGGUAGAGCACUGAUUGGGUGCGGGGCCCGCCAAGGGUUACCAAGUCCAGUCAAACUCCGAAUGCCAUGUACUUAUAUCCGGGAGUCAGACAGUGAGUGCUAAGAUCCAUUGUCAAGAGGGAAACAGCCCAGACCAUCAGCUAAGGUCCCCAAGUGUGUGUUAAGUGGGAAAGGAUGUGGAGUUGCAAAGACAACCAGGAUGUUGGCUUAGAAGCAGCCACCAUUUAAAGAGUGCGUAAUAGCUCACUGGUCGAGUGACUCUGCGCCGAAAAUGUAACGGGGCUAAACACACCACCGAAGCUAUGGAUUGAU
RNAcentral lists this ribosomal RNA (1150 nucleotides) under Paenibacillus sp. CF384. RNAcentral's name for it is "bacterial LSU rRNA". It matches the Rfam family "Bacterial large subunit ribosomal RNA", at positions 68 to 1211 of the family's 2925-position model. The record is from RNAcentral. Lineage: Bacteria; Bacillati; Bacillota; Bacilli; Caryophanales; Paenibacillaceae.